AUUGAACGCUGGCGGCAGGCUUAACACAUGCAAGUCGAGCGGAGAUGAGGUGCUUGCACCUUAUCUUAGCGGCGGACGGGUGAGUAAUGCUUAGGAAUCUGCCUAUUAGUGGGGGACAACAUUCCGAAAGGAAUGCUAAUACCGCAUACGUCCUACGGGAGAAAGCAGGGGAUCUUCGGACCUUGCGCUAAUAGAUGAGCCUAAGUCGGAUUAGCUAGUUGGUGGGGUAAAGGCCUACCAAGGCGACGAUCUGUAGCGGGUCUGAGAGGAUGAUCCGCCAACCUGGGGAUGGGACACGGCCCAGACGCCUACGGGAGGCAGCAGUGGGGAAUAUUGGACAAUGGGGGGAACCCUGAUCCAGCCAUGCCGCGUGUGUGAAGAAGGCCUUAUGGUUGUAAAGCACUUUAAGCGAGGAGGAGGCUACUGAGACUAAUACUCUUGCAUAGUGGACGUUACUCGCAGAAUAAGCACCGGCUAACUCUGUGCCAGCAGCCGCCGUAA
Molecule: ribosomal RNA, 501 nt
Filed under: uncultured bacterium
Lineage: Bacteria
Description: partial 16S ribosomal RNA
Rfam family: Bacterial small subunit ribosomal RNA
Source: RNAcentral